UAUCAGGGUAACACUGGCAUGAUGGGCAU
Molecule: non-coding RNA, 29 nt
Filed under: Rattus norvegicus (Norway rat)
Lineage: Eukaryota; Metazoa; Chordata; Mammalia; Rodentia; Muridae
Source: RNAcentral